GCGGAAGUAGUUCAGUGGUAGAAUACAACCUUGCCAAGGUUGGGGUCGCGGGUUCGACCCCCGCCCUCGGCACCA
Molecule: transfer RNA, 75 nt
Filed under: Streptococcus pneumoniae
Lineage: Bacteria; Bacillati; Bacillota; Bacilli; Lactobacillales; Streptococcaceae
Description: tRNA-Gly(gcc)
Rfam family: tRNA
About the family: Transfer RNA (tRNA) molecules are approximately 80 nucleotides in length. Their secondary structure includes four short double-helical elements and three loops (D, anti-codon, and T loops).
Source: RNAcentral